AUUAAUAAGCGGAGGAAAAGAAACCAACCGGGAUUCCCUGAGUAAGGGCGACUGAAACGGGAAGAGCCCAGCGCAUAACCUCGCGGCCGACUGCCGGCCGACGAGGGGUGUUGCGUUUCGGUGGGUCCAUCCCGCUCGGACCGUGUAUCGCCUAAGUCAUUGCUUGAAAGCAGCCCCAAGGAGGGUGAGAGGCCCGUGUGGCGGACCCCGGUAAUAAGGGUUGAGGCGGUUCCGAGCGGAGGGAUCUUCACUGUAGAGUCGGGUUGCCUAGUAUCGCAGCCCUAAGUAGGUGGUAAACUCCAUCUAAGGCUAAAUAUGACCACGAGUCCGAUAGCAAACAAGUACCGUGAGGGAAAGUUGAAAAGGACUUUGAAGAGAGAGUUCAAGAGGACGUGAAACCGUUAGAAGCUUAAACGGGUGGAACCACGAAGGUCGAACGAGGGGAUUCCGCUCGUCGCCAUUCUGGUAUACCUUGGGGGGUACGUAAUGAGAAGACCCAGCGCCAAUGUGGCACAAGCUGUGGCUCCCUCCUUGGUUACUAGUUUGUCCGACGGGCUUAUUUCUCCCUCUAGUAGGUCGUCGCGACCCGUUGUAGGGACUCCAAAGGCCGUGCUGGAUUGGUACCCCGUCGCCUUCUGGCGGCGGGCGAAUACUGGCUGCGGUUCUGUCGAGUCCCCACGACGGUCACUGCAAAGAGGAGGAUGCCUUGUGGGCGCCACUCCUCUCGCGGCGUGCACUCAUCGGUAAUCCACCCGA
RNAcentral lists this ribosomal RNA (756 nucleotides) under Rhynchocinetes aff. brucei BOLD:ACR5036. Its description in RNAcentral is "eukaryotic LSU rRNA". It matches the Rfam family "Eukaryotic large subunit ribosomal RNA", at positions 42 to 647 of the family's 3401-position model. The record is from RNAcentral. Lineage: Eukaryota; Metazoa; Arthropoda; Malacostraca; Decapoda; Rhynchocinetidae.